CAGUUUAUACUCUUUACGCUUGCGAGUUAGAGCUGACUGUGAGAGAGGAUUUGCACGGUUCUUGUUCUCUUAGUAUUUGGUGAUACUGUCACUGACUUGAGCGUUGGAGUGCGAUCGGCCGCAGCGGCGCCGCUCUGUUUCUUUGCAGGUUCUUGAGGUGGAUCUCGAAGAGGAACGGAAGUUCGAAGCGGUGCACACGUCGAUCCUUUGACGAGGCAGUUUCUAGUGUUCUGGUCAACAGGCAGGAUCAUCAGGCGCCC
RNAcentral lists this long non-coding RNA (260 nucleotides) under Phaseolus vulgaris (common bean). RNAcentral describes it as "long non-coding RNA (PVUL_LNC003938)". The record is from RNAcentral. Lineage: Eukaryota; Viridiplantae; Streptophyta; Magnoliopsida; Fabales; Fabaceae.